This is a long non-coding RNA of Myxocyprinus asiaticus (Chinese sucker), 1985 nucleotides long. RefSeq lists it as uncharacterized. The record is from RefSeq and is a predicted model, not a curated record. The transcript has 7 exons. Lineage: Eukaryota; Metazoa; Chordata; Actinopteri; Cypriniformes; Catostomidae.
UUUAUUUUAUUGCUGAGAACAUGAACAUCAGUGUACAGUGAUAUAACCAUACAGAACAAAACAUCAAAUAAAUAUUACUAAUAGUACAAAGAAAGAGUUUUGGUAGGCUGUGGUGAGGUACGAUGACGUCAGCGCGCCCAUGCGUUUGAACGCGCGUAUCUCUGCAGAAGGUCAGUCAUGGAGGCUCUGACUCAGGCUCUGUCCUCCAGCUUCUCUGUGUCCAGAGGGCCAAACAGCACAUCUGCUCCUCACUCAUGCCUGGCCCAGUACAAGAGCAAAUACAGUGUUCUGGAGCAGAGUGAAUGCUGCAGGAGGUGCAUGGAGCUUCAGAAAGAGUGACAUAAAGAGGCUGAACUUUGUAAAUCAUGCACGUCAGCUGGCGGAUGGAGACUGGACUAGAGCAGACAGUGAGGAUGAAGAGGACAAAGAGCCAGCUACAGCUGAAGAACAGCACAGAGGAGGAGGGAUGGAGAUCGAGCAGAGAAAGAAGUUGCCGAAGCAUUACGCCAACCAGCUGUUGUCAGAUUGGCUGGUGGAUGUUCCUGUUGAUCUGAGUUCUGAUUGGCUGAUGGUGGUUUGUCCUGUUGGGAAUGCUCCCUCGUCGUUGCCUCCCAAGGGAUCCACAUAAUCUAACACUAAAAGCGGCUGUGACAAUCGAUUUCCUUCUCUUCUCCCUGGUGGCAAUAGACACAACUCAGCCUUGGGAAAAGGUCUGCACCUCACCUGUCCUGCAGUAUUAUCACACUAGAGUGUGCUAGAGUGCUAAUGUUUCCUGUUCUGAGCCAUGUGAUAAAGAUGUUUUAUAUAGAUUACACAAUUCUGGACUGCAUCUACAGUGAAGUGGACAGAACAUACUACAUCCUGGACAUCAUGUGUUGGAGGGGACAUCCUGUAUAUGACUGUUCUACAGUGUUUAGAUUCUGCUGGCUGCAGUCUAAAGUGGAAGAGGUUGAAGGUCUUUCUGAAAUUUCUAAGAUUAAUCUUGUGGACGGCCUUCAUUUUCUACCACAAAGAAACCCACUAAACCCAAGGCAGCACUCCACUGGUGGGCUGGCUCAGACCCUACAUGGUUGCAGAUGUCUUGGGCAUAGAGGUACCACAGUGCCCCAUCACCAACAAGCCUGAUUAUGCCAGUCACCAACUUCAACAGACCCUAGAGCACAAGAAAACAAGAUGAACUGGAACACCUCUCCACACCAGACACACAGCAAGAGAACUCUCACACCAGUCAGAAAGAAGGCAUGGAGGUCUGAGAUUUGGGAAAAGACUGCAUGAGCUAAUACUUUUAGAGAGCAUGUUUUCUCAAGUCUGUGCACCAUUGAAGAAAUCUAGAUUCAGUCUAGCACUUGAUAGUGUUUGAGCUUGAGGACGCUGCAUUGAUUUUGGGAUAAUUCAGGCAUGAAGAUAAUCACUAGAAUAAUCUUAUUUCAAGAGGACAGUGAUGUGGAUGAAUUGGGUUUUUAAUUGCUACAUUAUCAAAUUACAAUUUAGUUAUCUCAGAGGGGCCUAUUUCUGUAACCAUAUUCACAAAAAUGUAACUAUUGUGCUUUUUUGGCACAUUAUUUUAGUACAUUUACAGCUAUUAUCAGUAGUAAACUCUUGUUCUCUUUUCAAGGGAUAGUUCACCCAAAAAUUAAAAUUCUCUUGUCAUUUACUCAGCCUCAUGCCAUCAUCACUGAUGCGUAUGACUUUUUCUUCUGCUGAUCACAAAUGAAGAUUUUUAGAAGAAUAUCUCAGCUCUGUAGGUCCAUACAGUGCAAGUGAAUGGUGAUCAGAACUUUGAAUCUCCAAAAAGCACAUAAAGGCAGCAUAAAAGUAAUCCAUAAAACUCCAGUGGUUUAAUCCAAAAAUGUCUUCUCAAGCGACCAAAUUGGUUUUGAAUGAGAACAGACCAGAAAUAUAACUCCUUUUUCACUGUACACCUUGUCAUUGCAGUAUUUAGGCACGAUCAUUAUUUCAAGCUUGAUUACACUUCCUAGUGCCAU